Molecule: long non-coding RNA, 1156 nt
Filed under: Triticum aestivum (bread wheat)
Lineage: Eukaryota; Viridiplantae; Streptophyta; Magnoliopsida; Poales; Poaceae
Description: long non-coding RNA (TAES_LNC006462)
Source: RNAcentral
UCCGUGCUUGGUGCAAGGAGCAGAGGGGGAGAGAUGCCUUGGUUCGCUGCAAGGACCAAGGAGAGAGAUGCUGCUACUGAUGGCAGCCAGAUGGAUUUUCUUUUAGGGGGAGAGAGGGAGAUGUGGUGAUGAUGGAGAUGAUGAGGCUGCGGCUUGAGUGUGGUUGGUGAUGAGGAAGUGUCCGGGGGAGAGGCCGUCGUGCCUGAGGUGAGAAUGGUUGAGGCCUGACCAUGGGAGAGGCCGUCGUGCCUGAGGAGAAGAUGGCUGGGGCAGGAGUUGCCCGGAGAGGCCGUCGUGCCUGUGGAGAAGAUGGAAGAGGUCAGUGGCCGAAGAGGCCGUCGUGCCUGUGGAGAAGACGGGCUGAGGACAUUGAGGCGAGUGUGGAUGGUUCUACGGAACCUGUGUAGUGUGGCAGCCGGGUUGUUGAGGAGGUGCAUGGUGCUCAGUUGGCCAUCACAAGUUGGAGGUGGUGAGAAGAUGAUGGAGAGGGCAAUGGCUCUCAUGUAUCGUAGUUGGUUAAGUUUUCUGUUCAUUAGAGUGGUCGUAGUUUGAGUUUAUGUAGUUGUUGCAAGAUGGUCAUGGGUGUUUACCCAUGAUCAUCUUGAGGGGGAGUGUUGGUACAUAUGGGAGGCCCAUGGUGGCCCAGGCCCAGUACUGUUUAUGUAACCCUAAUGUUGUGGUAUAUAUAUAUGUGUGUGUGGUGGUCCUGUGUGAACCAACCUGCAGAUCGACCAAAACCAAGACUGAAUCCAUUCCCUCUCGUGUUACAACAUAUAAUAUCUAGAUUACAAAAUGGCAUUGCAACAUAUCAUUAUUAACUUGUUAAUUUCAUCAAAAUUCCUUUCCAUGAAUAACAGCAAAAAUACUGUUAGUGUUUUGUUAAACAAACAUGAAAAUUGUGAGAUAUUUCGUAUGAUUUCCACUUUUACAGAUCAGCAAACAGUAUAUAAUAUCAAAAUGAGUAAAACAUAAAAAAAUGUGUAUAGUUGACUCCGAAGUGAAGAAUUUCUUUCCCUUAUGAAGAGCAACACAGAAUGGUAACCAGUUGGGAUCUAAAGACAAAUCACAACAAGAUUUAAAAUAUUAUUAGCUAGCACGAGUAACAGAAAGGAAGGGCAAGAUAAUGCAAAGACUCACUUCAAACAUAACCUAAUAU